Molecule: ribosomal RNA, 277 nt
Filed under: uncultured bacterium
Lineage: Bacteria
Description: partial 16S ribosomal RNA
Rfam family: Bacterial small subunit ribosomal RNA
Source: RNAcentral
UGGGGAAUAUUGCACAAUGGGCGCAAGCCUGAUGCAGCCAUGCCGCGUGUGUGAAGAAGGCCUUCGGGUUGUAAAGCACUUUCAGCGAGGAGGAAGGGUAGUGUGUUAAUAGCACAUUGCAUUGACGUUACUCGCAGAAGAAGCACCGGCUAACUCCGUGCCAGCAGCCGCGGUAAUACGGAGGGUGCAAGCGUUAAUCGGAAUUACUGGGCGUAAAGCGCACGCAGGCGGUUUGUUAAGUCAGAUGUGAAAUCCCCGCGCUUAACGUGGAACUGCA